AGGCUAGCUAUUCAUUCGUGGAACAUCCAGAGGAGAUUCUUGAGGAGCGAGUUUUGGGACAAGUAGGUCUAAAAGCGGUGGUGCUAGAAGAAUGCUACUUCGAGUCUGGAAAAUGCGACUGGACUAGCCCACAUGCAAAUUCCAAGUGGAAGCUCUUUCCUGACGAUUUUGCAUACAUUAAUGGCCCUUACAAAGCGCAGUUACAGAGUCCACCAUUACCAUGGGAACCAUUUCAUCGAGUCGUUGGCUUGUGCUUACGGUUCACUUACCGUAUACCUUUUAAA
This is a long non-coding RNA of Pocillopora damicornis (cauliflower coral), 284 nucleotides long. The record is from RefSeq and is a predicted model, not a curated record. NCBI's taxonomy places the organism in Eukaryota, Metazoa, Cnidaria, Anthozoa, Scleractinia, Pocilloporidae.